This 1265-nucleotide long non-coding RNA is filed under the name Triticum aestivum (bread wheat). RNAcentral's name for it is "long non-coding RNA (TAES_LNC018294)". The record is from RNAcentral. Lineage: Eukaryota; Viridiplantae; Streptophyta; Magnoliopsida; Poales; Poaceae.
AACAAGCUAGAUACAAUGCAAAGUUUCAUCAAAGGAAAAGCAAGCACUCCAUCAUAGCAAGCUAGCUUCCAUGAAGUGAAUGAAAUCUACAAAAUGGUAAAUAAGAAAGUUAGAAAUAGGUGACUAGAACAAGAAGAAGACUAGAACAAGAAGUAUAUGUCAUUUAUGAGCUAACUUAGGUGAAAUGGAUCAUAUAUGAGCUAACUAAGUUGAAAUGGGUUGUUUAUGAUCUAACUUAGUUGAAAUGGAUCAUUUAUGAGCUAACUUAGUUGAAAUGGGUCGUUUAUGAGCUAACUAAGGUGAAGGGCAUCGUUUUUGAGCUAAGUAAGGUGAAAUGGGUCAUUUUGGAGCUAACUUAGGUGAAAUGGGUCAUUUUGGAGCUAAUCUAGGUGAAAUGGGUCAUUUUGGAGCUAACCUAGGUGAAAUGGGUCAUUUUAAAGCUAACGUAGGUAAAAUGGAUCAUUUAGGAGCUCAUCUACGUAAAAUGGGUCAUUUUAGAGCUAAUUUAGUUGAAAUGGAUCUUUUUGAGCUAACUUAGGUGAAAUGGAUCAUUUAAGAGCUAAUUUAGGUGAAAUGGAUCGUUUUUUAGCUCACUUAGGUCAAAUGGAUCGUUUAUGAGCUAAAUUAGUUGAAAUGGAUCGUUUAUGAGAUAACCUAGGUAAGAUGGGUCAUUUUGGAGUUAACCUAGGUGAAAUGGGCCAUUUUAAAGCUAACGUAGGUAAAAUGGAUCAUUUAGGAGCUAAUCUAGGUAAAAUGGGUCAUUUUUGAGCUAACUUGGAUGAACUGCAUCAUUUAUAAGCUAACCUAGGUAAAAUGGGUCAUUUUGGAGGAAAAUAAGCUAACUCUAGGUCAUUAUGGUAAGCAUAUUGGAGGAAAUAAAGCUAAGUCUAGGUCUUUAUGCAUUUGUUAAGCAAGACACUAGAGAAACUUACCGUGAUCAGGGAGGUGUAGGAGCGGGGUGGCUAGUGCCGCUACCUGGCGAAGGAUCGUGCGAUGCGUUUCUGGAGUUAAGCUGCACCAAAGAUCAUUUCCAAUGUCUCGUUAGCAUUACGACACACAAAUGUUAAGACUACCAAGUAAUGUCCAUUCAAACUAAACUCACCGUGCUCCCAGGAGCAAUCACUCGCAUCGGUGGAGCGGGCUGACUGGACUUCUCGCACACAGACUGCACAUUUGGUUUUCAGAACAGAGUCAUACUAGUUAGUAAUGAGACUCAAAUGUUAAGACUAGCAAGUAAUCUGCAGAAGAAACUUACCACAAGGAGC